Hippocampus zosterae (dwarf seahorse) is the source of this 298-nucleotide long non-coding RNA. RefSeq lists it as uncharacterized. NCBI's taxonomy places the organism in Eukaryota, Metazoa, Chordata, Actinopteri, Syngnathiformes, Syngnathidae. The transcript has 2 exons. The record is from RefSeq and is a predicted model, not a curated record.
GCCCACAGUAAAGGUUUCGGGCCAUUUCAAUAAUAGUAAUUCUGUUAAGAAUAUUCAUUUAGUUAUCGCAGUGGGUCGGGUAGCAGAGGCCGUGUUUCAUCAGACGAGUCAUUACAGAAAGCCUGACCGUAGUCGUUGCUGCUGGUCCUCCUGAUUUAUAUUCCUUUCGUUUCACCUUCGAAAGCAAUGGCUUUUCACUCUACAAUUCAUUGAGCUGAUGUCACAGUUGUUCACUGUACGCCGUCAAGAAGACCGUAAUAAAGGAGCAAGACGCUCCAUUUCCUGGCUCAUGAAUAAA